UGAUAUUUAUAGCAUAGUUGAUCCACUUCGAUCCAUUCCGAACUCGAUAGUUAAACACUAUAGCGGCGAUAAUACUAGAGAGGUAGCUUUCUGGGAAAGUAGCUCAAUGUCAAGACU
RNAcentral lists this ribosomal RNA (117 nucleotides) under Sporolithon durum. Lineage: Eukaryota; Rhodophyta; Florideophyceae; Sporolithales; Sporolithaceae. The record is from RNAcentral.